UGCCCCGUGAUGAUACCCAUCCUUGCUCCCCGUGCCCCCAGGGGCUGUGGGUGACAUCAUGGCUGCCCCCGGGUUGAGCCGGUUGGGCUGAUGCCUGGGGGCUGAGGGCA
This is a small nucleolar RNA of Ailuropoda melanoleuca (giant panda), 110 nucleotides long. Ensembl annotates it as small nucleolar RNA, C/D box 23. The record is from Ensembl. Lineage: Eukaryota; Metazoa; Chordata; Mammalia; Carnivora; Ursidae.